RNAcentral lists this long non-coding RNA (4133 nucleotides) under Homo sapiens (human). RNAcentral describes it as "HSALNT0216161". The record is from RNAcentral. Lineage: Eukaryota; Metazoa; Chordata; Mammalia; Primates; Hominidae.
CGAGGUGUGGCUGGAGUGGGGACUCUCCCCUGCCCCCGCCAGCUCCUGCCCACCCUCUUCAUGGAGCUGAAGUCACCCUUGCACAAGGAAUCAGCCCUGCCACCAGAACCGGCAGCCUGGGGCUGACUCCCACCCACAGGGCACCUUGUUUCCCAGGGGAUGGCUUCCUGGUCCCCAGCUCAGCUGGAGGCAGACCCAGAGGAGCCCAGCUUGGUGCCGGAUGCUUCUCCUUGAGGGGGAGUGUGGGGUCUGACCGCAGAGAGAAGCUGGGGGCUGGGUACCCGCAUCUGCCUCUCUUUCCCGGCUGGGGGCCCUUGGGCAUGCUCCCCUCUUGGGGCCUCUGCAAAGUGGUGGUUGAGAAGACCGAUGAAAGAAGGUGGGCUCUGACCACACAUCAGAGCCUCAGGGAGCCACCCCUUCGCAGUCCCCUUCUUAAACAGUCUCAUACUUAUGGCCACUUAAUUAUAUGUAUAACUGUUUCUUAAAUAGUCUCUUCCUCACCAACGUGUAAGUUCCAGAGGUCAAGGAUGGUGCCUGCGUGGAAUCCCUGUGUGUCCCAGGAACACGCACCUGGUCAAUGAAUAAAUGAAUGAGCCAUGCAUGCUUGCAGGUGUUUGUGGAGUGUUUGUUACUGGGCACACUUGUUGCUGGGAUACACAGCUGAGCAAAACACAACCGGAUCCUCCUGCACAUUGCUUACAGGGAGACAAACUUUGCUCAUAUAAUCACUCCUGAACAAGCAGAAUCCAGUACACAGGUGGGCCCUGUGGAAGCACCGUCAAGGCCUUGCUGCAUGCCCUGUUAGGAGGAAGGCCCUGCCACCCCACACUGCCCCAAAGGAACACUUCCGGGAUAGUGCAAGCAUUCCUGGGAUCUUCCUGGGCCCACGGCGCUGGGACCCUGCCCCAGACUCCACUGCUCACAUUGUCACGAGCCGCAGCCCUCUCUGUGUGCCCACAACACCGGUUCUCAACUGGGCACAGCUCCUUCUCCUGGCUUUGCCUGGGCUGUGCUUUACACCUGAAGUGGAACCCCUGCCCUUCCAUCCUGCUCUCCUUCGAGGCCUGCAGAUGCCAUGUCCUCCACACCUGAGGAUUCUGGAGGCCGGCAGGGCUUCUGGACAAAUCUGAGCACUUGCACUCUGGAGGCCCUGCCACAGUGGCUACUGCCCACCACGGACGAUUCUGUAGACCCUGCUUAGAAGAGACUGGCCAUCCAGAACAGCUCUGCUCCCACCCGGAGACUCAAGACUCCGCUCAGGAGUUCAGACUGUCUGGCAGCAGCUGUGGACUGCAGGGGUGAUGGCCGUGGCUGGCACCUGAGGCUGCAGCUCUCAAGACCUUGGUCCGAAGGAUGGGGGCUUCCACUCCCAACUGUGAGCUCACUUGCUGGGAAACUUGCCACACCCAGUGUCUGGACAUCAGAUGAACUUGCAGCCUCUUCCUUCCUUUCCCUUUCCGGUAUUUUAUUGGUGGAGGGCCAUGGGCAUCAGACAUGUGGGUUUUGGGGAGGGAGGUAACGGCAGAGUGGGGUUGGUGAGUAUCAGCCCCUCCUGCGAGCUGUGGGUGCUGCUGUGUGUUAGACAUCCCUGCUAGCUCCCUGUCCCACAUGAGCCCCCGGGUCCUCACUGGGCACUGGCCUCAUUCUCUUCUGGGAUCUCCCAGGCCCUGCACACAGUAAGUGGGCAGCACACAGUCACGAUGGCCACUUUUAACCCCACCGCCUUGAUCAAGACCUGGAGAGCUGGGGCAUCAGAGCGGGGGUCGACAGACUCGGAGGCCAACUGGCCUGGGGUUGAGCUAUUGUUGCCGACAUGGAACCCGAUCCAGUGAUUAAUGGGUCCAGGAAAUGAUCCCUAGCUCAGCUGGCCAGUCCGGGCAGCCUGGCAGCACGGGCCCACGCGGUUCAGGGGAUGGCCAGGAAGGCCUGCCGUGGGAGGGCUGGCGGGGGUGGCUGGCUGAGCUGUGGCUACAAUGCUGGGGCCAUGGGGGUCUGGGGGGGUAUGGACCAAGGGCCCCUUUCCAGGAAUGCAAUGCCCGGCUCCCUCCCUUCUCCCGUGUCUCCUAACAGGGCCCCCCGCCCCUCUCAGUUCCUCCAGGCUUCCUGCCCACAGCUCUGGACCGCUGGUGCCAAUGUGGAGGCAGACAGCUGGCUCCCUAGCCAUCCCUGAAACCUGUCCGAGCCCCUCCCCCACCUCCUGAUUCUAGAUGUCCUCAUCCCCACCCCCACGCUCAAAGGCUCCGGGAGUCUCCCGGGGCACCCCUUUGCACACUGUGGAGUCCUGUGGCCACCCUAGUCGCACGCUGUCCAUCCCUGGGGGUAGAACUUGAACAUCCAGGGUGAGGGGUCCAGGUUCCAGGCCCCGGGGCCAGGCCAGGCAGCCAGGAAGGUGCCCUGAGCUUCGGUCCUUCAGGGCUUGGCACGAGUGAACGUCUUCCCAGGCCAUUGUGUUGCAAUCCUUCUUGGCCACCGACCUCUGUUUCUCUGGCAAUUGCAGGAUUUUGCCGCUGUGAUUUGGGCAAUGUUUUUUUCCUUCUAAAUCACCACUCUGGAAGAAGGGACUCAGCUCAGAAUGAGCUGGCUUCCAUUGUUUCACUUCUUUCCACAAACAGCUCCACAGCUCCCCGCUAGGUACCCGUCCAAGUGUUUCCAGGCAUAAUGGCAGCCCAGGGGUCACCCUGAGGUGGGGCUGCGGCUAGGGCUGCGUGGUUCCCUGGGUUCUGCAGGUCUGACCUCUUGGGCCUGGAGGUUUCCAGGGCGUAGCGUUUGGGCUGCUUCUUGAAGCCCGCUCUGCUCGUGCGCCUGCUCUGGUUGAGCACUUCCCGAGCGCCUGCUGUGUGCGGGGCACAGGCCUGGCGCUGGUCUCCAGUAUCAUUCUAGCCCCACCCUGAGCACUCAGAGGAGCAGACACCUGACGAACGAACGGCAGGACUGGGCUUCCAGGCUGGGUCUGCACCCCCAGCCCCCGCCUCACAUCACUGCGUGCUCAGGGAAGGCGAGCCCGGCCCUGGUAGCUGGGAUUCCUCCCAGGUGCACGUCCUUCACAGUUUCUGAGUCCUUCUCAGAGCCGCUGUGAUCUAGGGCGCCGCUGCAGACUCUGAAGUCCACUUAGUGAUGACUUAUUCCCAUUCCACGCAUCAGUGGCCUCGGGCUCAGAGAGGUCAAGGUGCUUACACAAAGCCGCACAGCUGUAAGUGAUGGGGCAGGGGCUGGACACCAGAUCUGUGUGACUCCUGGUGUGAAGAAGGCCAAACUGGGGCAUCACCACCAGCCUCUGUCCCAGGUGGGAGGUUGGGGAACAGCCCCGCUGUACGUGAAGGGCCUGGUCAUGUCUGGCCUCUCAAGGUGCCCCCCAAAACGAACCCCUCCGUCUCCAUCCCACUCAGUUACGGUGGGUGACUGGGGACUUGCGGGGACAUGAGCCUGAGCUCAUGUUUGGUUCCAGUGAUGGGGAAACUGAGGUCAAGAUGGAGCAGGGUGGGGUUGUGAUGUCCUAGGCCCUUCCAGUGCUGCCGUCCCAGGAUCUCAGUGACGUCUUUUUCUGGGCCCCAUGAUGUUUGCAGCAACACCAAAAGGCCUCUCUGCUCCUUCCUCAUGAGAUCUUGGGCUCUGUCCAAGGCCAACUGAAGACUGGAAAUGGCAAAGAAAAGUUGGUCCCUGUCAUCCUCAAGGGGACCCGAUGCUGUUGGGAUUCUUGGCUCCCCACAUCUGCCUUCCAUGACCUCGCUGUCACCCCGGUAGUGGACAGAGGGGAAGAGGGAGUCGUGGCAGCACUAGACGCAGGCACCGUCCUCGCCCCCUCACUUCUGCCUGGGCCGGCGAUUGUUCUGGCCCCACUACCUGGCAGGGCUGAAGGCAGAGGUUGGGGUGCUCACCUUGCAGCUCCCUCAGGGGUUCUCCAAGAGGGGCUUUCCCAGCCAGGCCCUUCCUCCGCGCCUCCCUCGCCGCCCUCCUUCCUCUUACGGGUCUGCGUGGUCCCAGUGCCUGCUAGGUGGAUGCUUUCUGAAUAAAGGCAUAGACCUUGUGGGGUAGGACAUGCCUAUGCUGAAACCUAUUGACAUUUUAAUAUUCUGCUAACAAAUGAUACAAACUCAUGUUGGUUUAAAAAAAAAACCCAUGGGUCAUCAUUUCCC